GCUGGAUUAGCUUAGUGGUCAAGCGCUGCCUUCGUAACGCAGAUUCACCGGUUCGAUUCCGGUAUCCAGCUC
This 72-nucleotide transfer RNA is filed under the name Mycobacterium phage Archie. RNAcentral's name for it is "tRNA-Thr". It matches the Rfam family "tRNA". From Rfam's summary of the family: Transfer RNA (tRNA) molecules are approximately 80 nucleotides in length. Their secondary structure includes four short double-helical elements and three loops (D, anti-codon, and T loops). Further hydrogen bonds mediate the characteristic L-shaped molecular structure. tRNAs have two regions of fundamental functional importance: the anti-codon, which is responsible for specific mRNA codon recognition, and the 3' end, to which the tRNAs corresponding amino acid is attached (by aminoacyl-tRNA synthetases). tRNAs cope with the degeneracy of the genetic code in two manners: having more than one tRNA (with a specific anti-codon) for a particular amino acid; and 'wobble' base-pairing, i.e. permitting non-standard base-pairing at the 3rd anti-codon position. Lineage: Duplodnaviria; Heunggongvirae; Uroviricota; Caudoviricetes; Vilmaviridae. RNAcentral also lists the same sequence under 4 other names. The record is from RNAcentral.